CGGCAACGGAUAUCUCGGCUCUCGCAUCGAUGAAGAACGUAGCAAAAUGCGAUACUUGGUGUGAAUUGCAGAAUCCCGUGAAUCAUCGAGUCUUUGAACGCAAGUUGCGCCUGAAGCCUUUAGGCCAAGGGCACGUCUGCCUGGGCGUCAUG
Molecule: ribosomal RNA, 152 nt
Filed under: Graptopetalum bellum
Lineage: Eukaryota; Viridiplantae; Streptophyta; Magnoliopsida; Saxifragales; Crassulaceae
Also listed under: 6 other names
Description: 5.8S ribosomal RNA
Rfam family: 5.8S ribosomal RNA
About the family: 5.8S ribosomal RNA (5.8S rRNA) is a component of the large subunit of the eukaryotic ribosome. It is transcribed by RNA polymerase I as part of the 45S precursor that also contains 18S and 28S rRNA. Functionally, it is thought that 5.8S rRNA may be involved in ribosome translocation.
Source: RNAcentral